Molecule: ribosomal RNA, 460 nt
Filed under: uncultured bacterium
Lineage: Bacteria
Description: partial 16S ribosomal RNA
Rfam family: Bacterial small subunit ribosomal RNA
Source: RNAcentral
CCUACGGGUGGCAGCAGUGAGGAAUAUUGGUCAAUGGACGAGAGUCUGAACCAGCCAAGUAGCGUGAAGGAUGACUGCCCUAUGGGUUGUAAACUUCUUUUAUAUGGGAAUAAAAUGUUCCACGUGUGGGAUUUUGUAUGUACCAUAUGAAUAAGGAUCGGCUAACUCCGUGCCAGCAGCCGCGGUACUACGGAGGAUCCGAGCGUUAUCCGGAUUUAUUGGGUUUAAAGGGAGCGUAGGUGGAUUGUUAAGUCAGUUGUGAAAGUUUGCGGAUCAACCGUAAAAUUGCAGUGGAAACUGGCAGUCUUGAGUGCAGUAGAGGUGGGCGGAAGUCGUGGUGUAGCGGUGAAAUGCUUAGAUAUCACGAAGAACUCCGAUUGCGAAAGCAGUUCACUGGACUGCAACUGACACUGAGGCUCGAAAGUGUGGGUAUCAAACAGGAUUAGAUACCCGAGUAGUC